GAAGAAUUAUGGAAUAAUUCCGACUUUAUCGUAACAUUAUGAUACUAGUAAUGCCUAAGUCGGCUGAUUUAUUCAUAUUACAAGAUGAUGAUGAAAUUUCGGAGGAAAUGCUUGAGUACUCAAUUUAACCCCUGAUUUAAUAAAAGAUCGAAAAAAAUAACAUUUGAUGUUGAAACAAGUUUUCGCUGAAAUUCAGAGAAUGUUUACCUUAAUGAAAAUAGUAAAUGGAGCUUAAAUGUUACAAGAAAAAACAAUAUUUAUUUUAACGCUCGGUUGUUCAUGAGGAUUUAAGUGCAUCAUUCCUACAAUCGCGUGUUCUUGUGAUCGAAUUUAAAGUGUGGAUAGAAUAAAAUCAUAAAUGUAAUUAAAAUUUAAUUUAGAAUUUCUAAAAAUAAUAAUCAAUUAAUGUAUGAGGCCAAUCAAAUUUAAAGUGUGGAAAGAA
Microplitis demolitor is the source of this 442-nucleotide long non-coding RNA. RefSeq lists it as uncharacterized. The transcript is spliced from 3 exons. NCBI's taxonomy places the organism in Eukaryota, Metazoa, Arthropoda, Insecta, Hymenoptera, Braconidae. The record is from RefSeq and is a predicted model, not a curated record.